Molecule: long non-coding RNA, 213 nt
Organism: Sander lucioperca (pikeperch)
Lineage: Eukaryota; Metazoa; Chordata; Actinopteri; Perciformes; Percidae
Exons: 3
Source: RefSeq, a predicted model, not a curated record
ACCAGCUGUUUGUAACAUAAAAAUAAAAUGGAUUAUGGAUCCUUUUAUUUCUAUAGUUUAUAGCUGACUUUACCAGCUGACUUCUCUAUCUGUUAAAACAGGUGACGUCCCUUACGUUCUAAAACCAGGCUCUGCGACUUGAACAGCUGAGGCGCAGCGAAACCAUCAGCUGGCUGGAGUCGAGCUGAGAUGGGCCGUUGAGGAUUUCAAAAU